ACGCACGCUGGCGGCGUGCUUAACACCUGCAAGUCGAACGGAAAGGCCCUGCUUUUGUGGGGUACUCGAGUGGCGAACGGGUGAGUAACACGUGAGUAACCUGCCCUUGACUUUGGGAUAACUUCAGGAAACUGGGGCUAAUACCGGAUAGGAGCUCCUGCUGCAUGGUGGGGGUUGGAAAGUUUCGGCGGUUGGGGAUGGACUCGCGGCUUAUCAGCUUGUUGGUGGGGUAGUGGCUUACCAAGGCUUUGACGGGUAGCCGGCCUGAGAGGGUGACCGGCCACAUUGGGACUGAGAUACGGCCCAGACUCCUACGGGAGGCAGCAGUGGGGAAUAUUGCACAAUGGGCGGAAGCCUGAUGCAGCAACGCCGCGUGCGGGAUGACGGCCUUCGGGUUGUAAACCGCUUUCGCCUGUGACGAAGCGUGAGUGACGGUAAUGGGUAAAGAAGCACCGGCUAACUACGUG
This 467-nucleotide ribosomal RNA is filed under the name uncultured bacterium. RNAcentral's name for it is "partial 16S ribosomal RNA". It matches the Rfam family "Bacterial small subunit ribosomal RNA", at positions 29 to 507 of the family's 1533-position model. The record is from RNAcentral.